RNAcentral lists this ribosomal RNA (561 nucleotides) under uncultured archaeon. RNAcentral describes it as "bacterial SSU rRNA". It matches the Rfam family "Archaeal small subunit ribosomal RNA", at positions 333 to 900 of the family's 1478-position model. The record is from RNAcentral.
CAGCAGGCGCGAAAACUUUACAAUGCUGGCAACAGCGAUAAGGGGACCUUGAGUGCCAGGAUACAAUCCUGGCUGUCGUGAUGCCUAAAAAGCAUUAUAUAGCAAGGGCCGGGCAAGACCGGUGCCAGCCGCCGCGGUAACACCGGCGGCUCGAGUGGUAACCGCUAUUAUUGGGUCUAAAGGGUCUGUAGCCGGCUUGGUUAGUCUCUUGGGAAAUCCGGCAGCUUAACUGUCGGGCUUUCAGGAGAUACUGCCAGGCUCGAGACCGGGAGAGGUGAGAGGUACUUCAUGGGUAGGGGUGAAAUCUUGUAAUCCUUGAAGGACCACCAGUGGCGAAGGCGUCUCACCAGAACGGAUCUGACGGCAAGGGACGAAAGCUAGGGGCACGAACCGGAUUAGAUACCCGGGUAGUCCUAGCCGUAAACGAUACUCGCUAGGUGUCGGCCACGGUGCGACCGUGGUCGGUGCCGUAGGGAAGCCGUGAAGCGAGCCACCUGGGAAGUACGGCCGCAAGGCUGAAACUUAAAGGAAUUGGCGGGGGAGCACAAGGGCGAAUCGCGG